UACGGAGGGUGCAAGCGUUAUCCGGAUUCACUGGGUUUAAAGGGUGCGUAGGUGGGUUGGUAAGUCAGUGCUGAAAUAUCCCGGCUUAACCGGGAGGGUGGCAUUGAUACUGAUGGACUUGAGUGCAGUCGAGGUAGGCGGAAUUGACGGUGUAGCGGUGAAAUGCUUAGAUAUCGUCAAGAACACCGAUAGUGAAGACAGCUUACUAGGCUGUAACUGACGCUGAGGCACGAAAGUGUGGGGAUCAAACAGG
Molecule: ribosomal RNA, 253 nt
Filed under: uncultured bacterium
Lineage: Bacteria
Description: partial 16S ribosomal RNA
Rfam family: Bacterial small subunit ribosomal RNA
Source: RNAcentral